Molecule: ribosomal RNA, 672 nt
Filed under: Triticum aestivum (bread wheat)
Lineage: Eukaryota; Viridiplantae; Streptophyta; Magnoliopsida; Poales; Poaceae
Description: partial small subunit ribosomal RNA
Source: RNAcentral
AUGAGGGCCAGAUCGCUGCCGUCCUUCUGCCUCCACCGGAUCAGGUCCGACUGGACCGCCACGGCACCUCCACCGAUAUGCGCCAAGGAGGCCUCCGUUGAUGGCCGGGACGAGGGCAACGAUGGCGUGCCAGAGGAGAAAGAAAAGGAGAAGGAGAAGGAUUCUGCUGCUGCGGUGGGGAGGAAGGUGAUGGUGGUGACCGACGGUGGCGGCGAAGAGGCCCGGACGGCGCUGCAAUGGGCGCUCUCGCACUCCGUCCGGCGGUCCGAUACCGUGGUCCUCCUCGAUGCUGUCCAGAGCACCGGCAAGAACCGAGAUGAUCUAAGAGGGUAUCAGCCCUUGGAGGCCAUGAGGAGCAUUUGCCAUGCUAAAAGACCAGAGGUACGCGUGGAGCUUUCCCUGGUGGAGGGGAAGGAGCGAGGGCCGACCAUCGUAGAGGCGGCGAGGAAGCAGGGCGUGUCGCUCCUCGUCAUGGGGCAGAAGAAGCGGUCCGUGACAUGGAGGCUGCUGGAGAUGUGGAUGGCCGGUGGGAGAGGCGCCGGCGCCGGGGGCAGCACNNNNNNNNNNNNNNNNNNNNNNNNNNNNNNNNNGUCAAAAUUGUCAAAUUUGCCGCGAGGGGGAGGCUAUCUCAUCACCACUAGGCGCCACAGAGAUUUCUGGCUCCUGGCUUGA